GGUUCUUUUUAUUGAUCAAUCUUUUAAAGUUUUUGCAUUUAGUAUCCAUAUUGAGUAGUGUUGCAUAACAUUAUAUCAAACUUAUAUCUAUUUCAUUAUGUUCCAUAUUUAAUAUAUAUAUAUACAUAAGGUUCAUUAUACAAAAUAAAUUUCAUUUUUAAAGCAUCCUCUCACAGAAGCUCUCAAAAUCAGUCACAUUUUAGAACCUAGAAACAUGAUGCAAUAAACUUCCUCUAUGUAUUUUUAUGAUGAGAUCUUAUUGCAAGUUCAUUUUUCGUAAUAAGAAACUGUGUCUUGUACAAUGCAUGGCCAAAAUGAUUCAUCUUAAAGUACAAUUUAUGUGAUUCAAGUCAAAGAAUGCAUAUGAUUAUUUUAUGAUAUAUCUACUCCACAUGCAAUACUCAACAAGUGGUACUUGUAGUACUUGUAAUCAUCUUUGCAUCAAUUUUGUAUGGUUUUUUAUUUUUAUUUUUAAAGGAUAUAAAAUAAAAUCCAAGACAUGAUUGCUAAAUCAAGGUUCGAAAUAUAAAUAAAUAAAUAAUUUAUGAAAUUCUCAAAUGCAGCACAAUAAAAAUAUUUCUAUUGGUGGCUUGUAAGAGAAGUAGCCAAGCCUUUUAAAACUUUUAUUGUAUUAUCAUUGUUUUAACAAGUCAAAACUAUUUGGGUGUGUAUACAUAUACAGUGAUACAUAUAUGCCAGAACUUAACAGAGAACACACAUGAUGAAUUUUUUGGUUUCAUUCAUGGUACUGUAAAUAUGUGCUGACAUGAU
Molecule: long non-coding RNA, 771 nt
Filed under: Physcomitrium patens
Lineage: Eukaryota; Viridiplantae; Streptophyta; Bryopsida; Funariales; Funariaceae
Description: long non-coding RNA (PPAT_LNC002110)
Source: RNAcentral